CGGGCGGCCUAAGCGUGCACCGGGGAAUUCCACCCACUGAGCUGCGAGCGUGCGGAGGGCGUGUCGCGUUCUUUGGGGGCGCCCGACGUUUGUCCUCCAUGAGGAUGCUCCAAUGCUACCUGGCUCGCUUGCACAGGUGAGGUGGAUGACAGCAAGGCGGCGGAACACAGGCCCAGGGGACCUGGCAGGGCGGUGUGUUCGGCGCGGGCCGCGACCCUCAGGCCCGGCUCGGGCGCCUCCAGCCCUCCGGGGCGACCGAAGGUCAGGGACGGAAGGGGUGCGGCGGGGGGUCCUGCCGCGUCCCCGCACCCUCCCGCCAGCCGUCGAAGCGGCAGGUGUCCCCUCGUCCUACCUCGGCUGGCACCGCGGCCCCCGCUUUCAGGUGAAGGAAGGCGGCUCCUCUUCGACUGCGCGGCGGGUCUCCUCCUUCCCCGUACCGGGACGCCCGAAAGCAGCCGCUCUCUGCCUCAGGUCUGCCACCAGCCCGGUUCCCGCGAACCGGAGGGAGGGGAGCCGCUCCAGGAAGUGACGUCACACCACGUCGCCGCCCCCGAAGGCUCGCGCUACAGUUGUUGGUCCCUAUCUCUGCAGCAGCCAGAACAAAUCUAAUUUCCUCGAGGGGAAUCGAUGGUUUUGUUCCACAGACUUUACUAUUAAAAGUGACUUCCUGAGAAAUGGAGCUACGAUAUCGAGUUUGCCAAGUAGGCGACACAAAGACUUCAAUUCCCAGGAGGCACUGUGGGUAUCCUAGGUUCAGGCUCGAGCUUUGCAUCAUGGGAUUUGUAGUUAUCACUGGCUUGGGGUUCUCUCAAAGAGGCUUCCAACAGAAGGUGUGGCCCAGAUUAAAGGUCUGUAUUAAAGGCCCAUGUCAUCCACCGUCAAGACCCGGAUCAAAGACAUGUUGUCUUCCUGCUUCAAUUCUGGAUCACAGGUGGCACUCUCGUAAUCUUGCUAUUUAGGAUCUGUACUGUACUUGCUCUCCUUUGUCACUUUCAUGACAUUGUGAGUCUAGAGAAAGAACCACAGGUGAUCUCUUUCUGGAGCUCUGGGAGGUCAACAAAGCAGCAGCGUGGCGACAUGACACAUGACACUAUCCCCAUGAAUCUGUGACCUCUCCAGCUUCUUACAUUCAGAGUGACAAUCAUUUGAAACUCGUAAUGGCUCUGAGAUGACUGCUGCCAUUGGUUAUUUUUCAUGCUGUGUGGAAAUCCUCCUACUGGGAACAUAUCAAAGUGAUACAAAACUUCCCUCAAAAUUACAUUCAUAGCUUUGGACCUGAGAACAUGAAUGCUGUCCACAGGAAAAGCCUUUGUUCUCCUGAGAAGAAUCUUAUCCAUUUUCUUGGGCUCAGACGGCCAGUUCAUACUUCCUUCUUCUCUGAAUGCAGCUACACUCUGUUGUUUUUAGGUGUCUUUGACUUUCCAAUGGUUAACUUCUGCUGCAUUUUCAAAUAGUACCUGACACUUGGGAGAUUAUUGUGCACUUUAUAUAUAAGGACUGUCUCUGCACUGGGCCUUUAGGAGUUAGCAGGAAUUGUUAAAGGAGGGAGGGUGGUCUUUUUACAUAUAGUGAAAGGCUUGAGAGAGGACACAGCACCAAGUGUGAGGUGUUGAGGGUUAGGGGUUAGGGAACUGAUGGAACUGAAAGGUGUUUGUAGGCUGUCACUAGACAUAGAGAUGAGCUUCUGAUUGUCCUUCAGACUACCUCAAAUGUGACCUUAUCAGUAAUGGCUUCCUGUUCACCCUAGAUGGAAUUCAGAAAGCCACCCUCUAUUGUUCUUGGUUCAUGAAUGUAGGCUGACAUCAUAUUAUAUCAUAGGUGCUUACUGGUUGAGCCUCAGAACUGGACUAUGUAUUAGAUAUCUAUCUGCCCACAAAGCUUUAACACCAAAUAAGGCAUACUCCCCAUAAUUUCAAUUUUUAAAAAUACCUGGUUCUUUUUCCACGUUUACAUUUUCACCAGAUAUUUUAGAUAUUUGUACUUCUAGUUCUAAUUUUUUUCUUAAGCUUUGAUGAUGUAUCUAGUUCUAAUUUGCAAAGCAAAAUCUAAAUACUUUUCAGAGACCUAUGAGCUCCAUCCCAAAAUUUAAUUAUCCCCAGAACAAUCAGCUACUUACCGGAAACCUACCAUAGGGAAUGCACCUCAAAGGCCAGCUGUACCCAUUAUUUGACACGCUGAGUGCUCGUCUUUCUCUUUAUAUGAUUUUCUGAUGCUUUUGCCUCUGACUUUCCUGUGUCCUGCAUGCCAGUUAAGGGGCUGAGCCUUAGGCCAGUCACUUUACACCAUUCCCACAUUCCUUUUGACAAACCCCUGUGUGGCUUUGCCUUCAUCUCCACCAAACAGGAUUAUCUCUGUGUUAACCUGUUGGACCAGAUUAUAAACACCUUGAGGGCAAGAAAGAUGGGUUUUCUUCUCCACUGGUUGGCAGAACCUCCAACUAAGUUCUGUAGGGCUAAGUUGAACAAAUAAAUGAAUGUAAAUAAGUGAAAGAAAUUUUCAUAUUUUUUGUUUUGUCUUUUCUUCUGAUUAGGGAUUCUAACACCCACACCUUUUCAGUGGAAUUUUGUUUUGAAGAAACAUAUGUAAGCUGUAAGAACAAAAUCAGAGCAACUGUGAUGAAAGAGAAUAAAUACUAUUAAUUACUGAGGGUAAUUAAUUGUAAGCUACUAGAUUGGCCAUGGGACUUAUAAGGCCUACUUCAGAUCUGACACUUGGAGUUUAUGUUACUUAGAGUCAGAAGUGUAUCUCAAACCAAACACCAUAGUCUAGUUAGCAGCACUAAGAUCCAUAAAAAACCUUAGGAGAGUGAACGUAAAUUAAAAACUAGGAAGUCAGACUUCUGAACUUAAGCAGACCAAUGAAUCAGACUGCAUUGCACUUUUACAGCUUUGUCUUAAGUUGGUUUGAGAAAUGUUCCUGGCAUAUGACUAAAUUGAAAUCUCUAAGUUCCAC
RNAcentral lists this long non-coding RNA (2952 nucleotides) under Cricetulus griseus (Chinese hamster). RNAcentral's name for it is "lncRNA (ENSCGRG00015017911.2)". Lineage: Eukaryota; Metazoa; Chordata; Mammalia; Rodentia; Cricetidae. The record is from RNAcentral.